ACCCGAUAUGUCUCAAUCUGCACUUAACUGGGAGCCUUUGGGUUUGGAGCAGUAAGUCCCUUCUCAAAAAAAAAACAUUGCACCGAGAUUGCAUCCAAAACACCAGGCUUUUUUUUCCACAGGGAAGAGAUGUAGCACACAUAAUUAAAGAAGGCAGCGGCCAGAGGGGGAUGUCUGCAAAAAAUACCUUACUAGGGUAAAAGGAAGAAAGGACUCAAAGGCUUUGUUCCCUGUUGCAACCGAGAGGGAUUACUGGGUUUGAAAGCAAUCCUAGCACUGAGGUUAAGAAAUAAUUGAGUCAAAUGAACUUUCAUUUCAAUAAUCCCAACUGAUAACACCGUUUGAAAGUACCAUGCCAUUUUCAUUUUCGGUCCAGAUAUUGGAAUCAUCAGGUGACCUCACUCUUCCUGCUUGCAUCUCCCAGACUACUUUUCACUCUUUCCAGAGAGUACCAAAUAGUGAUGAACUUGGGUUAAAUAAGAAUGGCAUUUUUCAGAUUACUGUAACUACUUGAAUGGACUUCAGUUUGAAAAUAUAAUUCAGGCACGGCUGUUUUGAAAUCUACUGCUGAAUAAAUAGUAACUCAUCUACAAACCUUCUAAUGAACAUGCGCAACUUUGUUUCAAACUCAUUGAGAAAUCCGAUGGUAUGAAUUACUCCAACUGAUUCCUCCGACUUGAGACAACAGAGUGGCGUGUAUCAAUUGAUGGCUCGCUUUCUUACAUUCCACUUCAGAAAUCAACUUACUAGUUAAUUCAACUGGGAAAUUAAAGAACAAACAUUAGAACUUAAUAAAAAUAGAUUUGCUUUUUAUGGAACAAACUACAAUUUCAAGAGCAAAUUCAACAUAAAGACAUUUCUAGGUUAGAAAUGAAGGUAAAUCAUUAUUCUAACAUUGUACUAACCAUUUGAAUCUGGCACUACUAUCUUUCACAUCCCACCUUCUGAAUCAUAAUGAUUUGAUCUAUUCUAAGAUUGUCACGUCUCAUGUCAACAAAUUACUUUGCUUUCAAUUUGAAUUUUUUUAAAUUAAUGAACACCACUGACAACGAGUUACUGAAACUAAAGGUGAUAAAAACCUUUAUUUUGAUUCAGAUUUUAUUUUAAUAUUGUCAUUUGAAAGUAAAAGCUUUAAAAUCAGAGUCAUCACACAGCGAGAUUAAAAGCAAGAGUUGAUUUAUACAUUGGAGAACGCAACUUUUCAUUUCAGUGCUUCAGUUUGAUAAGUGGAUUUGAAAACUAUCAAAAAUAAAAAUCAUGGUUUUGCUUUGAAGGUUUCUGGGUUGAAAAUUCAUUUUCCAUCAGAUUUUCCCCCUAUCGCCCCCAUUCACAAUUGCAUGGAAAGGUCCCAUUCACUUAAUGCUGUCAGUCAUCCUAAGCUUUCAUCUUGUCGAGAUGAUUUUUUUCCUUUAUGAUAGUUUUCAAAAGUAAGCCUGUAAUAUUUCAAAAUCCAACUAGUUACACUUGCUAUUACAAAUAAAACAGUUUAAGAUCAAAAUAAAAAUGGACUGCAGAAUGUAACAUAUUGUUUAAGCCACCAACUGAAGGCAUUUUUAGAGACACCAAUUUAUUAUUUACUUUAAUCUUGAUAAUGAUAACAUUAAAUGCAUUUAAGUUUACCAAUAUUUCAUUAUCAAUUUCUGCAAGUUUUGAUUGUAAAAGCCACGUGAAAGAAUAAUUAUUUGCAUGUAGAUUAACAGAUAAAUUAUCACCAAUUGAAAUGCUUGAAUUUGAGGUUAAUUUUGUUCAUUUUUCAAUUUCCACAUUUAAACUCCAAGUACACCUAAAGAAUGAAGUCAGAUGUCGGGGUAAGAGGGGUGGGGGUGGAUGGGCAGGUAAUAGGGCAUGCAUUCUGUAGGGACCAGUGUCAUUUGGCAGAAAGUGCUGGAAAUGUCAAAUGACUGUAAACUCCAAUCAAAGCUCCAGCAGCAAACCUCCUAACCUGUCUCUAUGGGAGUGGAGCUACACAUGCACCAAAGCAGCUACCAAAGGCUUCCCUUGGGUCCCUUUUCCUAUUCACAUAGCCUGAUGAAGCUCUUCAGCCACUCAGAACACUAGCAACAUUAUAAACCUGAACAAAUCACUUGAAUUAAUGACUUUGUACACUGCUUUGCACCUAUUUCAUAUUUCUCAAACUUCAUAUUGCUAAAUAUUUAAUUAAAAUAAUGUAUGUUAAUUCUCAUCUCGCAUUUUUGUGCUGUCCUGCCUUGAACCUAUGUAAUGCAUAACAAGAAUUUGAAUAUUCUAAAUAAUCUAUUCCCUCCUUUGUAUUCGAUCAUGUUCUAAAGCACUGCAAAAAGCUCCAAUUUUCAAAUGAUCAAACAAGGUAAUGAGUAAUUACUCCAAGGAUUUUCAUAAGUUGGUCCUAAAACACACUUUACAUUACUCAAAUUUUACAAUUUUGUGUGUCCUAGAUUUUAGCAGAAUCCCCAAGCUACUCUAUAGCCAAUGAAUCACAAGCAAGCAAAAACUAGCAAGUGUUAAACUGAAAAAUGAACUUCCAGUUCGAAUGAUGGAGCAGGAACUAAACUUGCAUUAACAUGCAAUUUCUUGUGUUCUUGCAAUUUGUAACAUUACUCCCUUAGGAAGCAAUUUUAUUUUUGCUGUAACAUUUGAGCUAUUAAAGCAUCUUUUAAAUUCAGUUAUAAUUUGCAGUUAAUUGAAAAGGACAAUGAAUAUUACUUAAAACGAGAAUGAUAGUGCAUAUUUCAACAGCAGUAACCAACCUGAAUGUCAAUUUUUAAAAACAAAAUUCUCAGCAACUAGUUAAAAGCAAGAAAAUGUAAAUAUUGUAACAAGCACAGAAUGAAAACAUUUACAGUGGUCUUUCAAAUUAAUCAUGUCCACUUAAUAUUUUGAGAAAAAUUGUUAUUAUCGCUCUCUUGUUUGUACUACACAGUCUUCAAUCUAGUUAUUAAAAAUAAUCUAGUCAUUUAAAAGAUGCAGCGUAAUGUAUAUGUUGAUAUUAAUCAGAUCACAUUAUGGAUACAGACCUUUGGAUUUAGAUUUGAUCUAAUUAAUGUGUUUUUUAUGAGAAACAUUGCUUCAGUUUUUAUUGGCCAACUGACAUAGAUAUUCACAGUGAUGCCAAUUUACCCAACAUAUCUUUAAACAUCCUUGAGCUUUAAGAAGUACUUCUGAUAUAUUUUGAAAAAUAAACACACCGCUUCAGUAAUAUCAAGUUACUUUUGAGCAGACAUAAAACGUGACAGCUGGCAUCACCAAAAACAACUGUCAUCUUUAGCGACUUAAAUGCAUUUGAAAUCCCUUGAAAAUUAUGACAAGGCUUGAGUACGUGAAGGGAAAAUGUUGAGUAGCUGUGAUUUCUGGCUAUUUUAAAGGCUGCUGUACAUAGGUCGACAAAAGAGAAGCUGUCUCUUUAAUGAAGAAUAGUUGGCAGGCAUUAGGACAUGGGGGAAGCCAAUAGCCCCAUGGCAUUAGCUCAGUGCAGGGCUGUGUCAGGGCAAUUAGAGCCGCUCUGCGCUGCACUGUGCAGAACUGCUGUCACUCUUAAUCUGCGCACCGAUCGGUGGCACCAAAUCUGAGCUUGGGACCACAGGAAACACAACCGGCAGACCCAUAUUGCUUUGACAGUUGCGCUCAUCUAGAAAUAAUGCAAAAUGCUAUUUAGAUGUAUACACCAUGACCCUUUGCUCCAAAAAGAAAACAAUCUAAUGAGGGAUUGAGGGGCUGCCAGAGCAAAAACAAUGCAGGAAAAUGGCUUUUUGCUUCAUAAUUCUUCACUUUUCUUCCGGUUGGAGCUUCUUGUUAUCACUGUUGGCUUAGAUUUUGUUUCAGUGUUCUGUGCCUCUAAAGCUUGAGUAAAAUACUUUAUAAUUGAAUUAAAACUCUUCCACGAUGUUAGCUCAUGCCGUUCUGUACCUAUAAAUGAGUGAAAAAGGAAUAAAGUUAAUGUCUAUAAUCCAUGGCUUAAGCGAUACAGUUACAUACAGGUAAUUGUGGUUUGUUAUAGGGAAAAAAUCAUGAUAAGGAAAAAAUAAAGACUUGCUUUUAAAA
Long non-coding RNA from Amblyraja radiata (thorny skate), 4017 nucleotides. RefSeq lists it as uncharacterized. The record is from RefSeq and is a predicted model, not a curated record. The transcript is spliced from 2 exons. NCBI's taxonomy places the organism in Eukaryota, Metazoa, Chordata, Chondrichthyes, Rajiformes, Rajidae.